RNAcentral lists this ribosomal RNA (497 nucleotides) under uncultured bacterium. RNAcentral describes it as "partial 16S ribosomal RNA". It matches the Rfam family "Bacterial small subunit ribosomal RNA", at positions 28 to 507 of the family's 1533-position model. The record is from RNAcentral.
GAUGAACGCUGGCGGCGUGCCUAAUACAUGCAAGUCGAGCGAACGGACGAGAAGCUUGCUUCUCUGAUGUUAGCGGCGGACGGGUGAGUAACACGUGGAUAACCUACCUAUAAGACUGGGAUAACUUCGGGAAACCGGAGCUAAUACCGGAUAAUAUUUUGAACCGCAUGGUUCAAAAGUGAAAGACGGUCUUGCUGUCACUUAUAGAUGGAUCCGCGCUGCAUUAGCUAGUUGGUAAGGUAACGGCUUACCAAGGCAACGAUGCAUAGCCGACCUGAGAGGGUGAUCGGCCACACUGGAACUGAGACACGGUCCAGACUCCUACGGGAGGCAGCAGUAGGGAAUCUUCCGCAAUGGGCGAAAGCCUGACGGAGCAACGCCGCGUGAGUGAUGAAGGUCUUCGGAUCGUAAAACUCUGUUAUUAGGGAAGAACAUAUGUGUAAGUAACUAUGCACAUCUUGACGGUACCUAAUCAGAAAGCCACGGCCAACUACGUG